Molecule: ribosomal RNA, 493 nt
Filed under: uncultured bacterium
Lineage: Bacteria
Description: partial 16S ribosomal RNA
Rfam family: Bacterial small subunit ribosomal RNA
Source: RNAcentral
AACGCUGGCGGCGUGCCUAAUACAUGCAAGUCGAGCGAACGGACGAGAAGCUUGCUUCUCUGAUGUUAGCGGCGGACGGGUGAGUAACACGUGGAUAACCUACCUAUAAGACUGGGAUAACUUCGGGAAACCGGAGCUAAUACCGGAUAAUAUUUUGAACCGCAUGGUUCAAAAGUGAAAGACGGUCUUGCUGUCACUUAUAGAUGGAUCCGCGCUGCAUUAGCUAGUUGGUAAGGUAACGGCUUACCAAGGCAACGAUGCAUAGCCGACCUGAGAGGGUGAUUGGCCACACUGGAACUGAGACACGGUCCAGACUCCUACGGGAGGCAGCAGUAGGGAAUCUUCCGCAAUGGGCGAAAGCCUGACGGAGCAACGCCGCGUGAGUGAUGAAGGUCUUCGGAUCGUAAAACUCUGUUAUUAGGGAAGAACAUAUGUGUAAGUAACUGUGCACAUCUUGACGGUACCUAAUCAGAAAGCCACGGCUAACUACGUG